This 27-nucleotide non-coding RNA is filed under the name Mus musculus (house mouse). The record is from RNAcentral. Lineage: Eukaryota; Metazoa; Chordata; Mammalia; Rodentia; Muridae.
UGACUUCCAAUUAGUCUGAUUUCUUGG